CGCUCAUCCAGAGGGGCAGAGGGAUACGGCCCGUUGAAGCCCCGGCAACCCUCCAGCCGGUCUCCGCUGUCAGCAGAGGCUCCCGGCUAGUGAAGGUGCCAAAUCCGUCUCGUGGCGAGAUGCGCCGCGAGGAAGAUGAGGA
RNAcentral lists this non-coding RNA (142 nucleotides) under Streptomyces sp. RNAcentral describes it as "SAM-I sequence". It matches the Rfam family "SAM riboswitch aptamer (S box leader)". From Rfam's summary of the family: The SAM riboswitch is found upstream of a number of genes which code for proteins involved in methionine or cysteine biosynthesis in Gram-positive bacteria. The SAM riboswitch acts at the level of transcription termination control. RNAcentral also lists the same sequence under 1 other name. Lineage: Bacteria; Bacillati; Actinomycetota; Actinomycetes; Kitasatosporales; Streptomycetaceae. The record is from RNAcentral.